Molecule: non-coding RNA, 759 nt
Filed under: Scolopocryptops sp. 1 YG-2013
Lineage: Eukaryota; Metazoa; Arthropoda; Chilopoda; Scolopendromorpha; Cryptopidae
Source: RNAcentral
UUUGAGGCAAAAAGUUUGACUUUGGUUUAAAAUCCAUCGCGCGUUUUUUAAUGCCAUAUACGAAAGAAUCUAAUAGUUGAAGAUUAUUGUAGUAGCUGGAAUUAAAAGAUUCUAAAAAUGUCAAUUAGAUUUGAACUUAAUCCUGUCUAACAUGGUGCCAGCAGUCGCGGUUAUACCAUGAGGGUGAGUGAUAAAUGUUAGGGUAAAGUUUUAAAUUAAUGGGAUAACAGGUAAAUAAUUAUAUUGGUGAAAUAUGAGUAUAAAAAACUCUGUAUAAAAUUUUUAUAGGCUUUUAGAUUAACAAAUAAACUAGGAUUAGAUACCCUGUUAUUAAAAAUGUAAAAUUAUCCUGAGUAGUAAAAGAAAUCUCGAAAUUAAAAAAGUUUGGCGGUAAUUUAAGCUAAUUAGAGGAACCUGUGUAUAGAAUGAUAGUCCCCAAAUAUUUUACUUAAAUUUGAAUGAGCAGCUUAUAUAUCGCCGUUGAAGAUUUAUUUAGAAGAAUGUUUUCUUACACAAUUUGUUGAUGAAUUCAGGUCAAGGUGUAGUAAAUGUUUAAGUUUACAUGGGUUACAAUAAAUGGGAGUUACAUGGAUAUUAAAUGAAAAAUUUAAUAGUAAGGUGGAUUUAAUUGUAAAUUUUCAAAAUCAUGGUUGGUUGAAUGGGCUCUAAAUUAUGUACACAUCGCCCGUCACUCUUGUUUAAAACAAGAAAAGUCGUAACAAAGUAGAUGUACUGGAAAGUGUAUCUAGGAUGCAAAAA